GGCACGCAAACCCUAUGUCUGAACAUUGAAUAACCAUCUCGGAACCAACCCACAAAUCUGACUCGAUACUCGACUCACUCUGAUCUCUUUUAGCUUGCAAGUCACUAUCAAUAGUCUGGGCAUCACAAAUUUCCUAAAGAAAUGUCGAUCUGGCCUCAAGCUCUGCCAAAACUGAACCAUCAUCGAGCAUCCAUGGCUCUCAAUGCAAACAAGGACUUUCUGCUUAAUGCGUCGUUGAC
Molecule: long non-coding RNA, 239 nt
Filed under: Gossypium barbadense (sea-island cotton)
Lineage: Eukaryota; Viridiplantae; Streptophyta; Magnoliopsida; Malvales; Malvaceae
Description: long non-coding RNA (GBAR_LNC005125)
Source: RNAcentral